RNAcentral lists this ribosomal RNA (253 nucleotides) under uncultured bacterium. Its description in RNAcentral is "partial 16S ribosomal RNA". It matches the Rfam family "Bacterial small subunit ribosomal RNA", at positions 524 to 776 of the family's 1533-position model. The record is from RNAcentral.
UACGUAGGGUGCGAGCGUUGUCCGGAAUUAUUGGGCGUAAAGAGCUCGUAGGCGGUUUGUUGCGUCGGCCGUGAAAACCUGCAGCUUAACUGUGGGCCUGCGGCCGAUACGGGCAGACUUGAGUUCGGUAGGGGAGACUGGAAUUCCUGGUGUAGCGGUGAAAUGCGCAGAUAUCAGGAAGAACACCAAUGGCGAAAGCAGCUUUCUGGGACGGUACUGACGCUGAGACGCGAAAGCGUGGGGAGCGAACAGG